UUGACUUCGUUAUGUUAGGCCGGACCGGUCCGGUCUGAUUUGAACCGGAGAGGGUGGUUAUGUGGAUUUUAAUGUCUUUGGCCUUUUGGUUGAAUCAAUUUUUGAAAAACCCUCGCUUAUUCUACUAACCCUUUUCUUCCUAACCUAUUUGAAAUACAAUUUUACCCUUCUCUUUUACUUUUUUUAAUUUUUUAUUUAUUUUUUACUACCAAAUAAUUUAUUAAAAUCAACCAAUCAUACGCAUUCUCUCUCUUAUCUCAUUAAUCACUUAAAUCUACAAAAAAAGGCUGGACAACUGAAACCAAUAGGCACAACUAUGUUGAUGGACUUCUACGAAAACAUAUAAUUACAUACUGUUUUUUUUUUUCUUUUUGAUUUUCAAGUUAUAGUCAAAAAGACUUCAGUCAUACGCAUUGCUUAUAAUGGAUACUAUUAAAUUUUUUUGUCGUAUUUAUACAAAUUAAUAUGUUUUGUAUUGGUACAACUAAGUACAACCCGCACAACUAAGAUCUAUUCACUUUGCUAGUUUUCAGAAUAUUAUAAAAUAUGAAAAUUUAAAACAAAACUAAGAAAACUUAAAUAAUGCAUACACAAUGGUAAUGAAAUUACAUAAUUAGUUUUUGACAAAAAUCAUAUUUUCUAAAUUAAUGAAACUCUUAUCACAAAAUCUAACAUUCAUACACUAACAACCUUAUACUUUCAUGGUUACUUUGUAUAUUUUAACAAAACAAAUUAAAAAUUUUAAACACUUGUAUUUAGAUAAAUAUAAAUACACCGAUACAAAGUAAUGGUAUUUUGAUGGGGGAAUACCAUAUGUUCCACCCAUAAAAAUUAGUUUUGAGUUGAUAACAACUAGAUUUAUUAUAUUCUCGAUAUUGUACAACUAUGAGCAAAAAUGUGCAACCGAGUACAACUGUACAACUAUGGGCAAUAUAUUUUUCAGAUAUUUAUAGAUAUUUUUUAAAUAUUUGUAGAUAAUUUAUAAUAAAAAUUAGCUUUAUUUUUUUGUGAUAAAAAUGUUUAGUUUUUUUUUUGUCAUCAAAAAUACUUAAUUUUAUAGUUAAAUAAACUAUUUUUUUCCCUUUCAAACUUUUUUUU
RNAcentral lists this small RNA (1098 nucleotides) under Arabidopsis thaliana (thale cress). RNAcentral describes it as "ATSL224560". The record is from RNAcentral. Lineage: Eukaryota; Viridiplantae; Streptophyta; Magnoliopsida; Brassicales; Brassicaceae.